GAUGAAGAACAUAGCGAAAUGCGAUACUUGGUGUGAAUUGCAGAAUCCCGUGAACCAUCGAGUCUUUGAACGCAAGUUGCGCCUGAAGCCUCGGCUAAGGGCACGUCUGCCUGGGCGUCACGCAUCGCGUCUCCCCCAAACCGCCAAGGCGGAGGGGAAGGAAGAUGGCUUCCCGUGCCUCACCCGGCGCGGUUGGCCUAAAUUUGGAGCCCGCGGCACUUAGCUCACGCGGCGAUAGGUGGUGAACAAGGCCUUGGCCGUGCAAACAACCCGCUGCGAAGCUCUAUGUCACGUGCGCUCGUCGGACCCUUUGAAGUUGCCUUCGGUGACUUAAAACCUUUGCGACCCCAGGUCAGGCGGGGCUACCCGCUGAAUUUAAGCAUAUCAAUAAGCGGAGGA
This 399-nucleotide unclassified non-coding RNA is filed under the name soil metagenome. Its description in RNAcentral is "partial contains 5.8S ribosomal RNA, internal transcribed spacer 2, and large subunit ribosomal RNA". The stretch from base 1 to 120 matches the Rfam family "5.8S ribosomal RNA", at positions 35 to 154 of the family's 154-position model. The record is from RNAcentral.